This 351-nucleotide ribosomal RNA is filed under the name Listeria monocytogenes. RNAcentral's name for it is "partial 23S ribosomal RNA". It matches the Rfam family "Bacterial large subunit ribosomal RNA", at positions 1179 to 1529 of the family's 2925-position model. The record is from RNAcentral. Lineage: Bacteria; Bacillati; Bacillota; Bacilli; Caryophanales; Listeriaceae.
GGCUAAACAUAUUACCGAAACUGUGGAUGAACCUCUUUAGAGGUUCGUGGUAGGAGAGCGUUCUAAGGGCGGUGAAGUCAGACCGGAAGGACUGGUGGAGCGCUUAGAAGUGAGAAUGCCGGUAUGAGUAGCGAAAGAAGGGUGAGAAUCCCUUCCACCGAAUAUCUAAGGUUUCCUGAGGAAGGCUCGUCCGCUCAGGGUUAGUCGGGACCUAAGCCGAGGCCGAUAGGCGUAGGCGAUGGACAACAGGUAGAGAUUCCUGUACCAGUGCUAAUUGUUUAACCGAUGGGGUGACACAGAAGGAUAGGGAAUCGCACGAAUGGAAAUGUGCGUCCAAGCAGUGAGUGUGAG